Molecule: long non-coding RNA, 1243 nt
Filed under: Macaca mulatta (Rhesus monkey)
Lineage: Eukaryota; Metazoa; Chordata; Mammalia; Primates; Cercopithecidae
Description: lncRNA (ENSMMUG00000062126.1)
Source: RNAcentral
CUGUAAUAAAAAAAAUAAAAAUUGAUAUAAGGCUUGUGACAGUGGCCAUACUUAUAAUCCCAGGGCUUUGGAAGGCCAGGACAGAAAAAUCACUUGAGGCCAGAAGUUUGAGAUCAGUCUGGGCAACAUAGUAAGACCUUAUCUCUACCAAAAAGUAAAAAGAAAAUUAGCCUUUCAUGGUGGUGUGCACCAGUUGUCCCAGCUACUCAGGAGGCUGAGUUGGGACGAUAGCUUGAGUCCAGGAGUAUAAGACUGCAGUGAGUUCUGAUUGUGCUGCCAGGCUGCCAGGCCCUGCCCCUGGAGUCUUUCUUUGAAAAGGCCUGGGGUGGGGCCCAAGAUUGAGUAGAAGAACAGGUUUCCUGGUGAGGUUGAUGCCGCUGGCCCAGGGAUCCCACCUUGAGGGCAGAGGGCUUUGAGGUUUUCAUGCCUGAUGAGGGCCAGGAACCCUUCUCAGUAGGCAUUGAAGACGGGCAGAGUCACAGAUUCCAGGAGAGAUGUCGUCAGAGGGACACAGAGGCAUCACGGAAUUAAAAUGAAAAUGAAGAAAGGAGCUGAGCAUCUGUUUCAUCACUUUCCUGCGCUGUUUUACUAAAGGGGCUGUUCUGGCCCAGUCAGGGCACGCUAUCAUCAAUCACCAACUACUUGUUGAACUAUGUCCCGGGUCUUGACCUUGAAGGAGGGACGCGUUCGGGUUGAAAGCCGCCAUGCCUGGUCGAUCGCAUCCCAGCCCUGAGCUGGCAGGGGCGAGUUUCCACCCGAGGGCCCCCGUCGUGGGAUGUCGCCAGAGGAGUGGCCAUUUACAAGUUGGCUUCAUGCAGAGGCUCCAGGAGCGCCCCUGCGGGUAGCAGUUCAGGGAAAAGUAGCAGCUUCAGCUGUCUCCGCUCCUCUAGAGGGCGCGGAAGCCCGAGUUCUCCAAGAACCGCCUGCAGAAGCUCAAGGACUGCUAGCUGUCCGCGCUGACGCUGCGCUCCGUGCGCGGCCCGGAGGAUCGGGGCGCCCUGGAUCACAUGGUCAGGAUGACCACGAGCCUCUUAACAGCCCCGCCGUGGCCAUCGCGUGCCAGACACUGUCCCCCGAGAGCACUCUGGCUUUCAGCGGAGCAGCUUGUGGCCGGCGUGGUGGUGCCCCAGGUCAGCCUCAGCAUGGAGCCGGCGCCCACCUUCCAGUCCGGAGAGGUCGGCGCGGAAGGGCAGCACAAAGGACAGCAGCCACCUGCGGAUACCAAAGUGGCCUUACAAGGUGA